UACGUAGGGGGCAAGCGUUGUCCGGAAUCAUUGGGCGUAAAGCGCGCGCAGGCGGCCUUGUAAGUCUGUCGUUUAAACUCGGAGCUCAACUUCGAGUCGCGAUGGAAACUGCAAAGCUUGAGUGCAGAAGAGGAAAGUGGAAUUCCACGUGUAGCGGUGAAAUGCGUAGAGAUGUGGAGGAACACCCGUGGCGAAGGCGGCUCUCUGGGACGGUACUGACGCUGAGACGCGAAAGCGUGGGGAGCAAACAGG
RNAcentral lists this ribosomal RNA (252 nucleotides) under uncultured bacterium. RNAcentral's name for it is "partial 16S ribosomal RNA". It matches the Rfam family "Bacterial small subunit ribosomal RNA", at positions 524 to 776 of the family's 1533-position model. The record is from RNAcentral.